Molecule: ribosomal RNA, 552 nt
Filed under: uncultured archaeon
Lineage: Archaea
Description: bacterial SSU rRNA
Rfam family: Archaeal small subunit ribosomal RNA
Source: RNAcentral
ACGGGGAGCAGCAGGCGCGAAACCUCUGCAAUAGGCGAAAGCUUGACAGGGUUACUCUGAGUGAUUUCCGUUAAGGAGAUCUUUUGGCACCUCUAAAAAUGGUGCAGAAUAAGGGGUGGGCAAGUCUGGUGUCAGCCGCCGCGGUAAUACCAGCACCCCGAGUGGUCGGGACAUUUAUUGGGCCUAAAGCAUCCGUAGCCGGUUCUACAAGUCUUCCGUUAAAUCCACCUGCUUAACAGAUGGGCUGCGGAAGAUACUAUAGAGCUAGGAGGCGGGAGAGGCAAGCGGUACUCGAUGGGUAGGGGUAAAAUCCGUUGAUCCAUUGAAGACCACCAGUGGCGAAGGCGGCUUGCCAGAACGCGCUCGACGGUGAGGGAUGAAAGCUAGGGUCUCGAACCGGAUUAGAUACCCGGGUAGUCCUAGCUGUAAACGAUGCCCGCUAGGUGUGGCGCAGGCUACGAGCCUACGCUGUGCCGUAGGGAAGCCGUGAAGCGGGCCGCCUGGGAAGUACGUCUGCAAGGAUGAAACUUAAAGGAAUUGGCGGGGGAGCAC